CGCUGGCGGCGUGCUUAAACACAUGCAAGUCGAACGGUAAGGCCCUUCGGGGGUACACGAGUGGCGAACGGGUGAGUAACACGUGGGUGAUCUGCCCUGCACUUCGGGAUAAGCCUGGGAAACUGGGUCUAAUACCGGAUAGGACCAUGGACUUCACGGUUUGUGGUGGAAAGCUUUUGCGGUGUGGAAUGGGCCCGCGGCCUAUCAGCUUGUUGGUGGGGUAAUGGCCUACCAAGGCGACGACGGGUAGCCGGCCUGAGAGGGUGUCCGGCCACACUGGGACUGAGAUACGGCCCAGACUCCUACGGGAGGCAGCAGUGGGGAAUAUUGCACAAUGGGCGCAAGCCUGAUGCAGCGACGCCGCGUGAGGGAUGACGGCCUUCGGGUUGUAAACCUCUUUCAAUAGGGACGAAGCGCAAGUGACGGUACCUAUAGAAGAAGCACCGGCCAACUACGUG
RNAcentral lists this ribosomal RNA (458 nucleotides) under uncultured bacterium. RNAcentral describes it as "bacterial SSU rRNA". It matches the Rfam family "Bacterial small subunit ribosomal RNA", at positions 34 to 507 of the family's 1533-position model. The record is from RNAcentral.